This 483-nucleotide ribosomal RNA is filed under the name uncultured bacterium. RNAcentral's name for it is "partial 16S ribosomal RNA". It matches the Rfam family "Bacterial small subunit ribosomal RNA", at positions 28 to 507 of the family's 1533-position model. The record is from RNAcentral.
GACGAACGCUGGCGGCGUGCUUAACACAUGCAAGUCGAACGCUGAAGCUCAGCUUUUGUUGGGUGGAUGAGUGGCGAACGGGUGAGUAACACGUGAGUAACCUGCCUCCUUCUUUGGGAUAACGCCCGGAAACGGGUGCUAAUACUGGAUAUUCACUGGUCUUCGCAUGGGGGUUGGUGGAAAGGGUUUUUCUGGUGGGGGAUGGGCUCGCGGCCUAUCAGCUUGUUGGUGGGGUGAUGGCCUACCAAGGCUUUGACGGGUAGCCGGCCUGAGAGGGUGACCGGGCACAUUGGGACUGAGAUACGGCCCAGACUCCUACGGGGGGCAGCAGUGGGGAAGAUUGCACAAUGGGCGCAAGCCUGAGGCAGCGACGCCGCGUGAGGGAUGGAGGCCUUCGGGUUGUGAACCUCUUUCGCUCAUGGUCAAGCCGCAACAAUGGUUGUGGUGAGGGUAGUGGGUAAAGAAGCGCCGGCUAACUACGUG